This 240-nucleotide ribosomal RNA is filed under the name uncultured bacterium. Its description in RNAcentral is "partial 16S ribosomal RNA". It matches the Rfam family "Bacterial small subunit ribosomal RNA", at positions 95 to 334 of the family's 1533-position model. The record is from RNAcentral.
CCGGCGCACGGGUGAGUAACGCGUAUGCAACUUGCCUAUCGGAGGGGGGUAACCCGGCGAAAGUCGGACUAAUACCGCAUGAAGCAGGGAUCCCGCAUGGGAAUAUUUGCUAAAGAUUCAUCGCUGAUAGAUAGGCAUGCGUUCCAUUAGGCAGUUGGCGGGGUAACGGCCCACCAAACCUUCGAUGGAUAGGGGUUCUGAGAGGAAGGUCCCCCACAUUGGAACUGAGACACGGUCCAA